RNAcentral lists this ribosomal RNA (465 nucleotides) under uncultured Klebsiella sp. Its description in RNAcentral is "bacterial SSU rRNA". It matches the Rfam family "Bacterial small subunit ribosomal RNA", at positions 338 to 795 of the family's 1533-position model. Lineage: Bacteria; Pseudomonadati; Pseudomonadota; Gammaproteobacteria; Enterobacterales; Enterobacteriaceae. The record is from RNAcentral.
CCUACGGGCGGCAGCAGUGGGGAAUAUUGCACAAUGGGCGCAAGCCUGAUGCAGCCAUGCCGCGUGUGUGAAGAAGGCCUUCGGGUUGUAAAGCACUUUCAGCGGGGAGGAAGGCGUUAAGGUUAAUAACCUUGUCGAUUGACGUUACCCGCAGAAGAAGCACCGGCUAACUCCGUGCCAGCAGCCGCGGUAAUACGGAGGGUGCAAGCGUUAAUCGGAAUUACUGGGCGUAAAGCGCACGCAGGCGGUCUGUCAAGUCGGAUGUGAAAUCCCCGGGCUCAACCUGGGAACUGCAUUCGAAACUGGGAGGCUAGAGUCUUGUAGAGGGGGGUAGAAUUCCAGGUGUAGCGGUGAAAUGCGUAGAGAUCUGGAGGAAUGCCGGUGGCGAAGGCGGCCCCCUGGACAAAGACUGACGCUCAGGUGCGAAAGCGUGGGGAGCAAACAGGAUUAGAUACCCGGGUAGUC